Molecule: ribosomal RNA, 301 nt
Filed under: uncultured bacterium
Lineage: Bacteria
Description: partial 16S ribosomal RNA
Rfam family: Bacterial small subunit ribosomal RNA
Source: RNAcentral
CAGUCGCCGCGGGAAUACGAAGGGGGCUAGCGUUGCUCGGAAUGACUGGGCGUAAAGGGCGCGUAGGCGGCGAUCAAAGUCAGGCGUGAAAUUCCUGGGCUCAACCUGGGGGCUGCGUUUGAUACUUGAUUGCUAGAGUGGGGAAGGGGGUCGUGGAAUUCCCAGUGUAGAGGUGAAAUUCGUAGAUAUUGGGAAGAACACCGGUGGCGAAGGCGGCGACCUGGUCCUUGACUGACGCUGAGGCGCGAAAGCGUGGGGAGCAAACAGGAUUAGAUACCCCCGUAGUCCCUGUCUCUUAUCA